AGCGAACGCUGGCGGCAGGCUUAACACAUGCAAGUCGAGCGGGCACUUUCGGGUGUCAGCGGCGGACGGGCGAGUAACGCGUGGGAACGUGCCCUCUGGUUCGGAAUAACUCAGGGAAACUUGAGCUAAUACCGGAUACGCCCUUUUGGGGAAAGGCUUGCUGCCGGAGGAUCGGCCCGCGUCUGAUUAGCUAGUUGGUGAGGUAACGGCUCACCAAGGCGACGAUCAGUAGCUGGUCUGAGAGGAUGAUCAGCCACACUGGGACUGAGACACGGCCCAGACUCCUACGGGAGGCAGCAGUGGGGAAUAUUGGACAAUGGGCGCAAGCCUGAUCCAGCCAUGCCGCGUGAGUGAUGAAGGCCUUAGGGUUGUAAAGCUCUUUUAUCCGGGACGAUAAUGACGGUACCGGAGGAAUAAGCCCCGGCUAACUUCGUG
Molecule: ribosomal RNA, 435 nt
Filed under: uncultured bacterium
Lineage: Bacteria
Description: partial 16S ribosomal RNA
Rfam family: Bacterial small subunit ribosomal RNA
Source: RNAcentral